CCCCCCCCGGGGAAAUGGAGGAGAUCCCAAGGCCUCAGACCUGUCCCCAGGGAGUCCCUUUCAGAGAUGAACCAGGGCUCGGAUUGUUUGAUGACUGAGCGUCUAAACAGAUCAUUCUCCGGCUGGGACUGUGGCUGUCUUGACACCCCAGACCCUGUUAAAAGUACCCACCUCCCGUAUCAGCUAGGCCCACCUGUGACAAGCCCCUCUCUCCUUUUCCCCUUGGUCGUGACCAGGUCAGAAAUUUUCUGGAGAGCCUUCUCUGGGCCUCCUGAUUUGGCCACUCACUGGUGACUCACUUGCCCUGUGAGCCUGUCUUCCCAUUCAGCAAUGCGGGACAUGAGGGUUGGGGGGGGGGGGCGGGGGCUGGGGGAGACAUCCCAGUAGGGUCUUGGGUGUGGAAGCCCCCACUCUCCGUAGCCUGAAGUUGGGGGGUCAGACAAAGAUGGGGACCCCGGCAUAUGUGCUCGGUUAGAGGGAAGCCCCAGAGGCUGCUGCUGUGGGUCCUGAGAGGGACCUGGAAACUUGUCUGCCUAUCCAGAUACAGAUGGGGACACUGAGGCCUGACCUGGCCUGUGACAUGCUCAAGGUCACGGUGAACGAGCAUCCUUAAAGGCCGGGGGUGUUCAGGGAUACCAUGGAGACUUGUUCACACUUCCCUGGAAAAUGAGACAAACCGUGAUCUUUUAAAACCCAGCUACAUAAUCUGAUUAUUCCUCGCUGGCAAGCCUCAGAGAAGAGCCGUGCAUCGGGAAAUUGGGCCGGGAAAGUUUGCCUCCUGCGCCAGAUUCGAAGCUCCUCGGUGCAUGAUGGGCUCAGGAUAAAGUGCCACUUUCUUAGAUAUUGGCACAAAUUAAAAAUAAAGAUAAAAUCCCUCCCAUAA
Molecule: long non-coding RNA, 883 nt
Organism: Neofelis nebulosa (Clouded leopard)
Lineage: Eukaryota; Metazoa; Chordata; Mammalia; Carnivora; Felidae
Exons: 2
Source: RefSeq, a predicted model, not a curated record